This 422-nucleotide ribosomal RNA is filed under the name uncultured bacterium. Its description in RNAcentral is "bacterial SSU rRNA". It matches the Rfam family "Bacterial small subunit ribosomal RNA", at positions 359 to 773 of the family's 1533-position model. The record is from RNAcentral.
GAAUAUUGGACAAUGGGGGAAACCCUGACCCAGCGACGCCGCGUGUGUGAAGAAGGCCUGCGGGUUGUAAAGCACUUUUAGUGGGGAUGAAAAGCACCAGGCUAAUACCCGGGUGUCUUGACCUAACCCAAAGAAAAAGCACCGGCUAACUCUGUGCCAGCAGCCGCGGUAAUACAGAGGGUGCGAGCGUUAAUCGGAAUUACUGGGCGUAAAGCGCACGUAGGCGGUUUUGUAAGUCGGAUGUGAAAGCCCCGGGCUUAACCUGGGAACGGCAUUCGAGACUGCAUUACUGGAGUAUGGGAGAGGGCAGUGGAAUUUCCGGUGUAGCGGUGAAAUGCGUAGAUAUCGGAAGGAACAUCAGUGGCGAAAGCGACUGCCUGGCCCAAUACUGACGCUCAUGUGCGAAAGCGUGGGGAGCAAAC